UGCUGCAAAAGUUUAGAGAUAAAGGCUUAAUCCUUUUGUGCCAAAUAUUGCAUUUGACCUCUCUUUGAAUUCUGGGAAAUGCAUCGCUGUGGCUUCUCCAAUCCCUUUGUUUGUUUUUUUUUACAUCCAAAUCUCUCGGGAUCUCCGGUUCGUUUUCACAUGGGCGGAGGGCUGCCACGUUCACUUCAACUUACACUGGGAUGACUUCCUUUGUGGACACAUGCUGUCCCUGUAUUUUGCUUUUGUCUGUGGUGACAACUGGGACGGCGUCAUGAUCAACUAGUACAUUUACACUAAAUAAGCAUCACAGGAUGAUUCAACAUGUGCUCUUCCGCUGAGACUCCACUGUUCACGGUCUGUGUGAAGCUUUGGGGAUUCCCCUCCUCGACCUCAUCCUCUCCCACCCUCCCUCGCCCUCCCAGAGGAGGUGGAUGGAGCGCCGGCAGCAACACAGCAGCAUCCAAGAGCCCCUGCUUCUCCUCCCAUCGAGCACCACUUAAGGCCUCCUGUCUCACACUGCAGCCCCGCCGGUAGUUGGGAACCAUUUUCUACUCAGAUGAGCGCAAACAAAGACAUGCAUGUGCAGGAGCGAGGGAAGAGGCAGGCAGGAGGAGGAGGAGGAGGAGGAGGAGGAGGAGGAGGCCGUUGGUGUGUUUGGUAAACAGCGAGAGAGCCGCAGGGAGCGGCUACUCGGGAGGAGAGGAAGAGGGGAAGGGGAAGUGGAGGAGAGGGAACACGAGAAGGGGGACAGAAGGGAACCGUACACUGAGGGAUGGCCGAGUCGGAAGCCGGUAACGAGUGGAGUAAAGGAAAUUGCAGGGGCUUCCAUGUCACAAUCCGCAGAUAGGCUGAUCUCAAAGGAAGGGGGCGGCACACCUGGCACUGAACAAACACGCUGCCCUCGCUGCACACAUGCUGCACAGAUCCUGCAGCUGACCAGGGGGCCUGAAGACGAAGCCGGUCCCCAGGGAUGACCGAACCACCCUUUCUCAGACACCCAUUUGUCGUACCCACCCCCUCCUCCCUCCCGAUGGAUGACCCUGCAACCAGCAGGGGUCAGCUGUGCAGAAGGAGCCCCCCCCCCUCCUGCACCCCAGGCCCUCGGUCCGGAGCCGCAGCGUAAAUCAGCGGCUGUUUCAUCGCGGGAACCCUGCCCUGCCCGGGGUCUCAGCCCAGCCUGGCACCAUCUGUCCCCGGGCUCUGACGCAGGAGCAGCGCUGCCAAGGUGGGUUCCCACUGACCUGCUGCACCCUCCAGACCAUAUGGGCCAGACCUGGGACCGGAGACAGAUCCAUCAUGCCGGAGUCUGGACACAGCAGAGCAGACUCGGUGUGCAUCCACUGUAAAGCUACUCUGAAUGAGCGGAUACAGGGGACAAGUUAAAGGUGGGCAGAUUAUUUUAAAGGUGGAAAGAUUUAAUUUCAGUUGGGAUGAUUAAAGGAAUUAAAGCCUGGCAAGCAGGAUGUUUGUUCUCUACUGUAUUAGAGCACACGAGUAUUUCAUGCAACUCCAAUACAAUUCAGUGGAAAAUAAUGUCAUAUUUACUCCGACGUAUUUACCUGAUACAGAGUACUGGUAACUUUUUAUAGAUUCAUACUUACUCAUGAUACUAUAGAAUACAUUGUUCUGGUAGCGGCCUUGUUUCAGUUAGUUGUCUGUAAGUUGUUAGCAACUUCAGAAAAUACCAAUUCUGCCUCUCAGAUGGUUUUAGUUUAAAACUGUUCAAAUUUCCAAAUAUUCCAAAAACAUAAAUAUAUAACCUGUGCUGCAGAACUGUGUCUUUUUAUUCUUCUUUCUACAAUGAAUCGUCUCAUCCUGUGACCUUUUGGACGGGAUCUGACACCAAAGUUUGUGGAAGUGCUGUUUUUUGACAUAACUACUAAAAAAAAGUGGAAAAUGACUUGUAUCCUGAGUAUUCAUGUUAAUAAGCAGCUUUUUUAAGGACAGAAAAACAUGCAGCAUGGUAAUUGAGAGAGGGCCGAUGUUGCAUUCUGAUUGCAACUAUUUCUAUUGGUUGAAAUAACAUACAUCACUGAUUAUGCUGUUUUAUUUUUGUGUGGUGAACUGCUCUUUAAAUAUGUGAGAUCGCUUAUAAUGAAAUAUUUUUAUAGUCUGAGGACAACGGGACAGUGUCAAUUAUAGGAACUUAUGAUCCUUGUACCAUUUUGCACAUUAACAAUACAGCGGGUGUUUGCUUUAGGCCCGUGGCCCGUCAUUAAAAUUCAGGGGGAAUAAGUUUGUGCACUCCAGGUUUAUAAUAACUUCUCUCAGAGGGCUCAAACCAAACUUAAGUGGCGUCUCCUCCUGAUUAGGCUGUAAUUGCACAGCUAUGGGCUACUUUCGAAUUCUUGCUUUUAUUGCCAAAAGUAGUUGAGCAGAUUGCUUUGUUGACAUAUAUUUAAGUGAAAGUAAAACUUACCGAUCUUAAAAAAAGAAAAAAUCUGGUUAAUUAGAGCGCUCGCAAUUCCACCUCUGGCCAAAAACAAGUCACGAUCUAUUAAGGUGACCCGCCCGACCCUGUCAUUUUGCUGUAUAACUGCCACACACUAAAUAGUUGAUGUACUACUCACACAUGUAAAACAGUCCAACCUUUAAAGUGCAAGACAAGUCUCUGCACUCCACCUCAUCACCUUUGACGACUUGACGUCUUUUCCCUCUCCAUCAUAACAGCACCUGGAAUUGUGACACGUAAAUCUUAUCAGCAGAGACAGUCUGCGGGUCCCCGGGCAGAACAGCCCGGCUUAUUGCCUUCUCCCACAGUCCCGACCUUGCUGCUCGCCCCCUUAGGCCCGGCUCUAAUGGGCGAGCAGGGGUCAUAAAGUGCUUGUGUUACUGUUUUCCUUUUCCCAAACCAGUGACACCAGUUGUUCACCCUCCUCACCGCGGCCUUUUGUGAGGCCUGACAAGCUGUCAGUUCCAGGCGGAGGAUGGUUGUUAGAAGACGAAACGCAUUACCUUGAGCUGACACCACACUCGGCUGAAGGCCUGUCUUUAUGAGCUAACAAUAACUUUGAACAGCUCUGUAGCACAACAUUAAAAAGUUUUUGCUGCUGCUCUGCGGUGUGUGUGUUCAGUUUGUUGCGUCAAAUCGGGACAUGUCUCGCAAAAGAAAAUAUCUGGAGCAGAUUCAUCCGGCAGAUAAAUGAUAACUGGGGUAAAGGAUUGUUGUUUGUGAAGACUCCCACGUACAGUUUUGAUGUAUACGUGUUGUCUUAUCGCUCUCGCAGGCUUGAGGAGUGAUUUUUGGCCGUCAUCAGGGUUGAGGGUAGGGCAAGAAGACCUUCACUGUGACACAUACAACCCCAAGACGAAAAUAGACACACGCCCACCCACAUACACGUACAUGUACGCACAGUAAAGAGUGCGUCACUCUGAGAACAGGCGCAAACUACUGAACAGUUUGUACUUUUGUCCUCUAGUUUGCUCAGCUGAAAAGUUGAAAUUGCAAUCAUCUGAUAAACAUAACUGAGCGUUCACAGAACCACAGGAUAAUUGUACCAAAGAGUUUGUGUUGCAGUUGAUUACAGACUCUACUUCUACAACUCUUUGUGUGUCCUCUGUGUUUUUAAUUAAAACAUUAGAUAUUGGAUUUAUAUUUAGAUGUUUGAGUUGAUUAAAUAUAUUGGCUGAUUCAGCUUCUCACAAAUUAAUCCUGACAUACACUGAUUCAUUUUGACUUUUUUUCUUUAUCAUUCAUUUGUUUUUGGAAAGACUGUAUUCGAAAUCAUGAGGAGAAAAUAAAAAAACUGACUGGAAACUUGAUGUUGGAGAAUAAUGAAGAUAUCUGAGCUCAGUUUGCGAUGUAAUCUGUGCACAUGCUGCCCUCGUGUGUUCAGCCACAGGAACUGACAUUAUCCUCUCUCGCACGGACAUCUCCGGUCAAUCACAUUAGACAUCACUGUCAAACAUCACUAAAGAUCGAUUUUGACAUGAAGCAUAACUUAAAACACUGUUCUAUACCAGCAU
This is a long non-coding RNA of Sparus aurata (gilthead seabream), 3966 nucleotides long. Lineage: Eukaryota; Metazoa; Chordata; Actinopteri; Spariformes; Sparidae. The record is from Ensembl.